UACAGAGGUCUCAAGCGUUGUUCGGAUUCACUGGGCGUAAAGGGUGCGUAGGUGGCAUGGUAAGUUUGAUGUGAAAGCUCAGGGCUCAACCCUGAAAUGGCAUUGAAUACUACUGUGCUGGAGGUUUGGAGGGGGGACUGGAAUUCUUGGUGUAGCAGUGAAAUGCGUAGAUAUCAAGAGGAACACCAGUGGCGAAGGCGAGUCCCUGGACAACACCUGACACUGAGGCACGAAAGCUAGGGGAGCAAACAGG
This 253-nucleotide ribosomal RNA is filed under the name uncultured bacterium. Its description in RNAcentral is "partial 16S ribosomal RNA". It matches the Rfam family "Bacterial small subunit ribosomal RNA", at positions 524 to 776 of the family's 1533-position model. The record is from RNAcentral.